UUUUUAUUAGAAUUUGAUAUUGCAUAUCAUUUAUAGAAAAUAUUAUUUUAAAUAAUAUUCUAAAAAAAUAGGUAGAAUUUUUUUAUUUAUUUUAUUUUUACAAAAUAAAAUUUAUAAAAAUUAGUGUUGAUAUGUCGAUUUUUUAUAUAUUAGAUUUGUUUUUUUUAUUUAGAAAUUUGUUAAUUAUUUCUUUAAUUUUUUUUUAAUAAGUAAUUUAUAGUUUUUUAAUUUUUUGUAUAAUAACAGUUAAUAUAAUAGGUUGUUGUUUUUUAUUUUUUAAAUUAAUAAUUUUUUAUUAUUUAUAUUAUUAUAAUAUUAGUAGAUAUUUUUUUAAAAAGUUUUUUUUUAAAAUUUAGAUUUUGAAAUUGAUAUAUUGAUAAAUGUUUUUUAAAUACUUAGGUUUUUAUUUAAAAUUAGCUUCUGCCCGGUGAUUUAUUUAACGGCAGUCUUAGCGUGAGGACAUUAAGGUAGCAAAAUAAUUUGUGCUUUUAUUGGGUUCGAGUAUGAAUGAAGUUCUGUUGAUUUAUAUAAUUUCUUUUUUUUGAAUUUUUAUAUUAAAUAAAAAUUUUUAUGUUUAAUUUUACAAAGAUAAGUCUUCGGAAAUUUUUUUGAUUUUUAUUUUUAUAAAAAUUAUUUUUUCUAGGGAAGAAUUAUUUAUAUAGGUUUAUUCUAUUAAUAGGUUUAAAAAUUACUUCGGAGUUAACAGAAAUACAUGCUUUAUCUAGUUGUUAUAGUAAAGUAAGUUUUACAUCGGUGUUGUAUUUGUAUUGUUUGGGGGGAAGAAUAUUCAAGUUUUAAGACUGUUCUUCUUUUUAAUAUAACGUGAUAUUAGUUUAAUUCAUCGUGAGAUAGAAUUGUUUAUCUUGAGAGUUAAUUGUUUGAUUAGGGUUUAUAGUACGAAAGGAAAUUUAUUUAAGUUAUUAACUUUUUUGUUUGACUAUUUUUUUUUUGGUUAUGUUA
Molecule: ribosomal RNA, 960 nt
Filed under: Dictyocaulus eckerti (red deer lungworm)
Lineage: Eukaryota; Metazoa; Nematoda; Chromadorea; Rhabditida; Metastrongylidae
Description: large subunit ribosomal RNA
Source: RNAcentral